GAUGGCGACCGGCGCACGGGUGCGUAACGCGUAUGCAACUUACCCUGUACAGGGGGAUAGCCCGGGGAAACCCGGAUUAAUACCCCAUAGUAUUAUCGAAUGGCAUCGUUUGAUAAUUAAAAUUUCGAUGGUACAGGAUGGGCAUGCGUCCCAUUAGUUAGUUGGUGAGGUAACGGCUCACCAAGACGAUGAUGGGUAGGGGUUCUGAGAGGAUGAUCCCCCACACUGGUACUGAGACACGGACCAGACUCCUACGGGAGGCAGCAGUAGGGAAUAUUGGUCAAUGGGCGAGAGCCUGAACCAGCCAUGCCGCGUGCAGGAAGACGGCCUUAUGGGUUGUAAACUGCUUUUCUACGGGAAGAAAAGACCUAUGCGUAGGGCAUUGACGGUACCGUAGGAAUAAGCACCGGCUAACUCCGUGCCAGCAGCCGCGGUAAUACGGAGGGUGCAAGCGUUGUCCGGAUUUAUUGGGUUUAAAGGGUGCGUAGGCGGCUUUAUAAGUCAGUGGUGAAAAGCUACAGCUCAACUGUAGUCGUGCCAUUGAAACUGUAAAGCUUGAGUAUAUUUGAGGUAGGCGGAAUUUAUGGUGUAGCGGUGAAAUGCAUAGAUACCAUAAAGAACACCGAUAGCGUAGGCAGCUUACUAAGAUAUAACUGACGCUGAGGCACGAAAGCGUGGGGAGCGAACAGGAUUAGAUACCCUGGUAGUCCACGCUGUAAACGAUGAUUACUCGGUUUUGGCUCGCAUGAGUCAGAGCCCAAGCGAAAGCGAUAAGUAAUCCACCUGGGGAGUACGC
RNAcentral lists this ribosomal RNA (796 nucleotides) under Roseivirga sp. RNAcentral describes it as "bacterial SSU rRNA". It matches the Rfam family "Bacterial small subunit ribosomal RNA", at positions 87 to 885 of the family's 1533-position model. Lineage: Bacteria; Pseudomonadati; Bacteroidota; Cytophagia; Cytophagales; Roseivirgaceae. The record is from RNAcentral.